RNAcentral lists this long non-coding RNA (208 nucleotides) under Elaeis guineensis (African oil palm). RNAcentral's name for it is "long non-coding RNA (EGUI_LNC005816)". Lineage: Eukaryota; Viridiplantae; Streptophyta; Magnoliopsida; Arecales; Arecaceae. The record is from RNAcentral.
CGUGUCCCUGAAAUUGUGAAUCAUUAAAAAGCACUGGCUUCUUCUAGACUGCGUGGCUUGGGAUGCCGAAACACGACGAAAUUAUUGCAUGAACCAGGUGCAAGUGAACCUGGGCAAAUCUCGGAGCAUAUGCACGGUGAGGAGCGCGCAAUCGGGAAUCGAUGAAAUACAAGGGGCCGCGUGGCGGGCUAUUCAUCGUGGGAUUUGC